RNAcentral lists this ribosomal RNA (764 nucleotides) under Escherichia coli. RNAcentral's name for it is "partial 23S ribosomal RNA". It matches the Rfam family "Bacterial large subunit ribosomal RNA", at positions 98 to 905 of the family's 2925-position model. The record is from RNAcentral. Lineage: Bacteria; Pseudomonadati; Pseudomonadota; Gammaproteobacteria; Enterobacterales; Enterobacteriaceae.
UUAUAACCGGCGAUUUCCGAAUGGGGAAACCCAGUGUGUUUCGACACACUAUCAUUAACUGAAUCCAUAGGUUAAUGAGGCGAACCGGGGGAACUGAAACAUCUAAGUACCCCGAGGAAAAGAAAUCAACCGAGAUUCCCCCAGUAGCGGCGAGCGAACGGGGAGCAGCCCAGAGCCUGAAUCAGUAUGUGUGUUAGUGGAAGCGUCUGGAAAGGCGCGCGAUACAGGGUGACAGCCCCGUACACAAAAAUGCACAUGCUGUGAGCUCGAUGAGUAGGGCGGGACACGUGGUAUCCUGUCUGAAUAUGGGGGGACCAUCCUCCAAGGCUAAAUACUCCUGACUGACCGAUAGUGAACCAGUACCGUGAGGGAAAGGCGAAAAGAACCCCGGCGAGGGGAGUGAAAAAGAACCUGAAACCGUGUACGUACAAGCAGUGGGAGCACGCUUAGGCGUGUGACUGCGUACCUUUUGUAUAAUGGGUCAGCGACUUAUAUUCUGUAGCAAGGUUAACCGAAUAGGGGAGCCGAAGGGAAACCGAGUCUUAACUGGGCGUUAAGUUGCAGGGUAUAGACCCGAAACCCGGUGAUCUAGCCAUGGGCAGGUUGAAGGUUGGGUAACACUAACUGGAGGACCGAACCGACUAAUGUUGAAAAAUUAGCGGAUGACUUGUGGCUGGGGGUGAAAGGCCAAUCAAACCGGGAGAUAGCUGGUUCUCCCCGAAAGCUAUUUAGGUAGCGCCUCGUGAAUUCAUCUCCGGGGGUAG